This is a long non-coding RNA of Triticum aestivum (bread wheat), 203 nucleotides long. RefSeq lists it as uncharacterized. The record is from RefSeq and is a predicted model, not a curated record. The transcript is spliced from 3 exons. NCBI's taxonomy places the organism in Eukaryota, Viridiplantae, Streptophyta, Magnoliopsida, Poales, Poaceae.
GUUGCAGAUCCUCAUCGUUUCUUUGGGAGAGGAUCUCGUCAAUGAUCCAUUUUUCUCCAUGGAUUCGCGAUGGAGCUGCUCUAGGAGGAGCUUCUUCUUUGGACGCCAUGGAAUCUUCAAGGAGAGGAACACUCGGCUGAAGAACUCGACAUGGAGGAUCUGAAACCUCGCAAGGAAGAAGGAGAGGUACGUCAGCAACAAGU